Molecule: non-coding RNA, 9983 nt
Organism: Chlorocebus sabaeus (green monkey)
Lineage: Eukaryota; Metazoa; Chordata; Mammalia; Primates; Cercopithecidae
Source: RefSeq, a predicted model, not a curated record
CAGCCUGUCUUUAAAAACAGAAAGCAAAAAAAAAAAAAAAAAAAAAAAGAGAUUUGAAUUGCAUGAUUCCAUUCUUGCUUUGGUCAUUUACUGGGUAUAAACUCGUUUUCCUCGUCUGUAAAACACAGAAAACAGUGCCUCCCUUAUGUGAGUUAUAGAUUAUCUGAUGAUUCAAAUAAUAUAUGAAAGUACUUUUAAACUAACGACACAAAUACUAGCUGCUGUUUAUUUAUGAUUCAUUAAUUAGUGUUGUAUCCUAUGAAGGCUCCAGUUUUGUUUUUAUCAAAGAUCAUGUGGAGAAAUGGCUUGCAUUGGGAUAAUUUAUGACUUAUUAAAACAGUUUCCUUCUAAUUAAGGGACUGUUCUCUUUGGAAAUUAGAUAUUAAAUGUAUGGUUUUUGUGGCAACACUGGGAUGUGUGCUGUACUGCUACUCCCUAAAAAAAAGGUCUUUUUAAUAUUUUAAGCAUUGAUCAGACUUGAGGCUAUUUGCUUUCCCAUCCUCAGACCCUCAAGUGCUUGUUACAGGUUAGAUUGUGCUUGAUAUUCAGAAUUGAAUAUAGAAGCGUGUGCUCUGCACGUGGUUGGUCAGCUGGCUUAGAGAGGCUGGAUUCUUCAUCAUGACACAAUUAUAGAAAAAUACAGGGUUUUCCUGAGUGGCCCAAAAGGAGAUGAGGUGGGUGUUGAGCAAUUAGGACCUUAUUUCUUUAAGUUUCUCCUGAAAUUGUUAAAAGUCAGCUCACCUCAAGACACUUCUUAGUUUUUUUGUUUUGUUUUGUUUUGUUUUGUUUUGCCAAAACACAAGGCAUCAAAUGUUUGAAAAUAUCCUUGGUGCUCAGCUAUAGAAGUUUCUUGAAUCCAUGAGUAAUAAGGAGCUAUUUGGCAUCAUUAAAUAUGGAGUGUUGGUUUAUCACUCCAGUGAAUGAUUCAGGAGAGAAUACUGAGUUAGCUUCCUGCUGAGACAUGGAGGAUACCUGGAGUUUAUCUAGCACAUCUCUGUGAGAUCCCUGAGAGCCUCCUAGAUGAGAAUGCAGGUUUAUUACUUCUACCUGCUGAGGAGACAGAAAAUUAGUAUGAUAAUGGUGAUAAUUGUUCUGUCCUCUGGACAGCCUGGACAUCAGGGAAGCUUUGAGGUUUCAGUAAAUGCUUAUUUAUUCCUCUGCUUUUGGUACAGGCCCAUGUCUCUUGGUGAAGAUGAGAGAUACAUAGAAAUAUAAUAUAAGCCCCAUGUGUAACCAUAUGAAAAAAGUAAAAAGAAGUAGAUAAAUAAUUUUAAUGAACUCACUUAACAUAUCUAAAUUAUUACCAUUUCAACAUGUAAUCAACAUAAAAAUUAAUGAAGUAUUUUAAAUUCUCUUUUUGGUGGUAUGCUACAUACGCAAACUCUCGUGCAUACUUUGUACUUAGAGCACAUCUCAAUUCGGACUAGCCAUGUUUUGAAGGCCUUUUCGCCAAUAGUGGCUAUUGGGGACCAUGGUGGACAGUGCAGGUUUAUUCCUUACCAACCUGGCCCGUAGUACAAAGUGCUGUUUCCGGGAGACAGCCUUUACUCCUCACUAAGUAUUUAUUGGGUAUCUAAUAUUUGCACAGUUUACUACAUUUUGGUUAUAUAACCAUAUAACUUGAAUUUUAAUCAAUGAAUCAAGAAACAUAAAAAAUAGUAUAAAUAAAGUGAAGUUUCUGGAUAUCUGCUUGCUAUCAUAUCUUCUGUAUGAUACAGAAGCAACUGAGUAUGAGUUUUCAUGAAUUUGCAGUGUAGCUUUGGGAUCAUCCAAGUUAAAAUUAUAGGCUAUGUGACAUAAAAGGCAUUGGCACUGGGGGGAUUUGUGUAGCAUCAGGAAGAGCUAGACAGUCAUCUUCGAAAAGCAGGUGAAACUGAAAUAGAAUAAUGAACCCAAGGGACUGCCAUCGAAGAGAUGUAGUGUACUAUUUAGGUGUCAGAGACAGAAAAAAUAAAUAGUGAAGGUGGCUAGGAGCACGAACUCUAGUAGAAGGGAGGCAUUGCCAAUUACAGGCCUUGAUUUGUAUUCGAGGCACAUCUUUUCUUGGGUAUCUCUUGAGUUCCAUGAAGAUAGCCAAUGAGUAGUGCGUAAUAAUUGUACUGCCUUUCUGCUAGGUGGCAGCUGGUGUUAGCCAAUGUUUGAAUACAUUUUCAAACUUAAUUUUUACAAAAAAUGUCAUGAAAUAGGCACUAUUAUUAUCUCCAUUAAUUAAUGAUGAAAUUGUAAAUACACUGAUGUUAAGAAGUGGAACUAGGACCACAUGGGUAUUAAAUGGAGGGACCAAAAUUUUGGCCCAGUUUUAUCCAACUGUAAAAUCUUUUAUUUUUAUCUUAUAAUUCUCUUCAAAUUAGACAAUACCAUGGCCCAAAAUAUAAAUAACUAGUCAGAGAUUAUAAACAUAUAUCUGUAUGAAUGGAGAAGCUUGAUUACAUGUUGUCUGAUUUUAACCAGCUUAGAUUGAAAUUAAAGUAUUAAGUGUACUUAAAUUGUUUAACUUAUUCGAGAACCAAUUCAGAGGCCACUUUCUAUAAAGAGCCCCACUUCAAGUCCCUUAUUUGGAAUUCAUCUCUCCUUCCUCGGCUCUCCCCAAACAAUUUACACAUCUCUUGGUGCAUAAUAGCCUUCUCCUUUGAUUAUAGUUAUACAUGAGCAUGUUUUAUCUGCCUUUUCUCUCCAGCCGCUACAUGUGUCUUAUACACAAAAUAGCUGCUCAAAAUAUGUUUCAAAUAGAUGAACUAAAUGACUAGAUGGAUGGAUAGAUGAACAAAUGAAUGAAUAAAUGAAUAAAAAUAUUCUUGUCCCCUUCAAAAUAAGAGAAGUGUUUGUACAAAUUAUCUUGAGAGUAGGUAAAAAGCCUUUGCAAAAAAACCCCGGGGGUAAAACCCUCUGAUUAUGGCAAUAAUAUGCAACGUAACUAUUGUAAGAGGAGGGCAGUUUGAAAAACUCAAAUAGUCACGUACUUGAAAUAUUAACUAUUCAUACUAUGCAUAUACUGGUUUACCAUCCAGCACAUAGAUACAGUUUGUCUUUGACUUCACAGAGCUGGCUUCAUGCAGCUCUUUUAGAAAACAUAUUUUUCCUGACCCCCCUCCAAGCUGUACUUGACAGGGACAAAACUGAGAGCGUUGGUCACUGCAGGAAUCAUUGUGAGCUUUUAGGAGGGGAAAGUCAUUUCUAUGACUAGUAGUUUUCAGGAGACAUGGGCGUGGUUUUCUCUUUUCACACGUUUUAGACAAAAGUGGCAGACUGAUGAGUUUAAUACAGAGGAAUACCAUGGCUUGUUCAUGGGGGAGUAACUUUUUACAGGAAGGUUUAUUAUCUUUGUCAUCCGAAUCCAUAUGCCAUGCUCAGAAAAUACAAGGGAUCUCUGUCCCGAGUGGAGCAGAAAUAGUUCUUUCAUGCUGAAAUGUACUUUGGUCACCAUUUGACAUUUUUAAGAAGCAGCUCUGUGAAAUAUUUUUGAAAGUGGAUUUAUGUAUUCAUAUUCAUUCAUGUGCUAUUUUCUCAUCUAUAUAUUCCCCAUCUUAUUCCAGAAAGGAUUUAAGCUGGCUCAUCCAUUUGUUGUAUUUGGAAUGUUUCUUUAUAGGUCAAGGACUAGUUUUCCAGUGAAUUGAUUUAAAGAACUGCAGUCCUCUGACUCAGGCUUGAAUUCACUUAUGAUAUUGGCCAUUUGGGAUCUCUCUCUGUUAUAUGGGCAGAGUAAACACAAGUGUAAAUCUGUGGCAACGUUUUGGAUUUCUCAGAUCAGGUACUCCAUCAUCUGCUUUUUAUCACGUACAAAAGAAAUACAAGGCCAUUUAUUUCCCUAUUACCCUGUGUUCUGGAUUUUUCUAUUUAUAAAUGAUAUUUUAUAUGCUCUGUUUAGCAGUUAGUAAUGAAGCUUAAAGGGAAACCAUUUUAAUUAAUGCCUUAUUUGCAAGUGUAGCAUGCGUCUCUUUUCUUUGAUAUUAUUGGAAAUUAUUUUAAAUUCAGUCAAAAGAAGGUGCUUCAGGCAAAUGAGGACUUGCUAAUAGAGAGCUGUAUUAUUUCAUUUUACUAAUGAAAUGCUGUUAAUUUUUUCUCUGUAUUUUACCUGCUGCAACUGGUUUCCUUGACUUUGUUCAUACCACUAGGAUUUUUGCAAACAAACAAACAAACAAAACUGACUAUGAGUAUUUAAUAGAACCAUUGCAAUUUUCUGUCAAACAGGUUUUGAAAUGUAUCUGGUGCUUAACAACACAUUGCUUAUUUAUUUAUUUCAAACCAUUAGCUACUAUUACAUUAUAACUAAAACACACACACACACACACACACACACACACACACACACACACAGAGAAAGCUUUGGUUCAAUUAUAUUAGAUAGCCCUCCUGUUUCCAUUGUGUUUGGGGGAAGUAAAUGUAAUAAAUAAUUCUAAACUCAGUAAGCUGUCUGUUGAAUUCCUGUUGGAAUUAGCUGAGAGUUUGUAUGGAAAAGGCUUAGCCUAGAACUUCAUAUGUAUGGGGCUAGGGGAUAGAACACUUGAAGGGAUGGCAUGGGCCACAGGGCUGAAAAGAGGUGCUGAGUUAGGAUAGGAUAUAAGAAUGUAUAAGAAUAGGAUAUAAGAAUAUCUAAGAAUAGGAUAUAAGUGUGGCAGCACUGAAAAUCAGAUGGACAUUUGCUUCAAAACCAAGCAUCAACACUCAAUCUACCUCUUAAACCUCUUUGAACGUCUCUUCCCUAUCUUUGAUGGCAGAAUGGUAAUACUUAUUUUGAAGGUGUGUCAGGAUUGGUAGCAGUGUGUGAAGAUCACAGCAUGUAUUAUGAACUCAUAAAUAACAUUGCCUGGGGUGUUAUUUUUGUUAAGUUCAUCAUCAUCAUUAUCAUCAUCAUCAAAUAUAAUCCAUUGCUUCAAAGAAUUUAUAGUCUAGUUAGGGACAAAAAGAUUGUGUGUUCGUGUGUGUUUAUAUUAAAGAUGUGUUGGAAUUCUUAUUAAGUAUCAAUUUCAUUGCCAACAUGGACAUGGCAAAUGACAGAUUUCCCCAAAAAUUAUUGAGGGAAUUACUGAGAUUAGAUAUUGAGGAGAUUCUAGGACACCAAAACCAAGGCAACUGAAGCACUAAGGCACUCGACAAAAUGAAAUGCAAACGAAUGUCCAGAGGUUUCAGCACAGAAGUUGGUCUGGGGGCCAAUUAGAAAAGCAGAGCUGAGCAGAAACAGUGGCAAUGCGGGGUGAAUGCAGCCGACCGGGAAACCUGCCGUGAAUUGUAUUUUAUUCCUGGCAAGGCCUUAUUUGAAGUUUUCUUUCUUGAUUUUGUUCUUCCCUGCUACUGCUAGCCACAUCUGACAGAUACACUAAUAUACAAAAAAUUAAAUAACAAUAAAAAUAACAUUAUAAGACGUGCCUCAAGGGAGAAUGAAUAUCAAGUACCAGAUGAUGCUGGAAUGAAUUCUGCUGGAGUUCAGAGGACACAGCUGUCUUAUGGCCUGAGGUUUAAAGGAUGACACUAUGAGAAAGGAGGCCAUGACAUCACUUUUGAAGAAGUGUGCAGGGAGCACAAUGGGAAAAGGAGGACUGGAAAAGAGAUGAGAUCUUGCUGGAUCAGCUGAAACACCUGCCACCUGCUUGCCCAGACAGGAAAUCUUAAAGUCUACGCUCCUCACCCUCAGCACCCUGCAACCAAAAAGAAAAUUCAAAGGGCUCUCACUCUAUUUGAUUGGAGUGUUGAAGAAUCUUUGGCAUUGAUUCCUGGUGCUUUGCUGCCCAGGCACCCCUAAUCUUAGCCCCCACCACCAGGGGGCCUCCCUCCAGUCUCCUUCCUCCUAAGCAUUGAUCACAGCCCCCUCAGGUUUAAUAAGCAUGGCUAUCCAUGUCUAAAACAAUAGUAUUUUAUAUCAUUAAUUUGUUGUGAACUUUUCAAGCUUUUCUUCACAAAUAGCAUAUGGAUAUUCAAUUUGGAAAAUUUUGAUACAGGUUUAAACAAAAUCAAAUUCAAAUAAUCUGUAAUUAUGCCAACCCCAGAAAGCUAAUGCCUUUGCUAAUUUUUAGAUAUACUUCCAAAUUUAUAAUAUUAUGAACAGUAGUACACAUCAGUAAGUACACAUCAUAUUUCACAAAACAUGGGCUCACUUUUUUCUAAUUCAUCUUAUUAAUAUUUUGUGAACUUUUUUCCUUGUUACAUGUCUACCUCAGUAACAUUUUUUUACAAUCUGAAGAGAAAUUAAUUGUAUAGAACAGAACAAGUUUCCUUUGUUCAUUUUUACAUAUGUUUCUUCUAAUGUUUUUCUCAUAACCUAAUAUGAAAGUGAUAGGUUGUGGCUACAUUUUUACUUAUAUUCAUAACAACAUUUUAGGAUACAUUUUGUCAGAAUAUAUUUUAUGGUCAAAUUGUAUUUACAUUUUAAAACUUUUUGGUAUGUAUUUACAAAUUUAUUUUAAAAUAUUGAUUUAUGUGAAAUGGGAAUGUUUGAGAGUGCCCCUUCUUGGAUUUCUAGUCAAUAUUGAGGCUUGUUAUAAAACAAAUAUUUAUUUAUAAAUAAAUAAACAAAUAAAAGCCUUUUCUCCCACUUUGAUGGGAGAAAAAUUGAAUGCCAUCGUAUUGUUAUGCUAAUCUCCACUAAUUAUAAUUGCUAAUUGUAUUAUUUAUUUGUAUGUUCUUGAUUGUGAUUUGCUUGUUUAUAAUAUUUGCCUAAUCUGGGAGGUACUUCUACUUUAUUAUCUUAUUUUAGAUAGUUCUUAAUAUGUAUUAAUAAUAGUAACUCCAUCUCUGAAAGACAUGCCAAAUAGUUUUGCUUCAGAUAACCUGUCUGCUUCAUAUCUAUCUGGAUUUUUCCCCAAAUCAAACCUCUUAGUCUUUUCUUUUAUGGUUUUUCACUUGUUAAGUAAGACUUUCCUCACUUCCAAUUAUUGAAAUAUUUACCUACAUUUAUGCCUACUAUGUUUAUGAUUGGAUUUUUCAUUUGUAAGUUUUAAUGUUUCUUAGGUUAUUUUUGAUGAGAAUAAAGGAUCCAGUGUAUAAUUUUGACUGUUUAUACGUAUCUAGUCUGUUUUGUUGUUCUGACCAUUCCUUGUAAGUAGCAUACACUAUAACAUUCAGGGAAAUUUUCAAUAACUAGUAAUGCACAUCUUAAAAAUGUUCUGGCUAUUUUCACUUCUCCUUAUGAAAUUUAGACUUAUUUAUUAGAACUCCAGUACAAUUUCUAGUGAAACUAUGAAUGGAAAUGAUAUUUAUAUGAAUUUGAGAAAUAGGUUCUUUGCAAUAUCAUUUUUUACCAUAUAGCAACAUUUGUGUCUCUGUUUAUUCAAGCCUUCUUUUCUGUCCUUUUGUGGAAAUGUUAUGCUGCCCUUCGUAUAAUAAGCUCUUAUACAAUAUAUUCCCAAGUGUUUACAUUUUAUCCUUCUCUCAUUUCUUGAUUUAAAUGGAAUGCUCCAAGUAUUAUACUAUCCAAUUUAAAUGCCCACUAUUGCUAUUUAGACAUUUUAAAUUAGGAAUCAGCAUUGAAAUAGUUAAUGACUUUUUAAUCAUCUCAUCAUAUUUUUAAAAAUUUUUUGACUUAGUUAUAUUAGGGGUUAAAUUUAGAAUGCCUUAUAUUGGCACUAACUUGAACGUUUUUAAACACAUCCUCCUAUUAUAAUGUUUUGUAUUAUUACAUGACUUUUUUUGAAUAACACAAGUGUAGUUUUGUUACAUAGAUGUUUUGCUGAGUAGUAGCUUUUAGUGUAACCAUCACUUGAAUAGUAUACUUUGUACCAGUUAAGUAAUUUCUCUCCUUACACCCUCCCAUCUUUCCACCCUUCCAAGUUUCUAAUGUCUGUUAUUCCACAGUCUGUGUGCGUAUGUACAUAUUAUUUAGCUCCUACUUACAGUGUGAACAUGCAAUAUUUGACUUUCUGUUUCUGAGUUAUUUCACUUAAGAUAAUGGCCUCCAGUUUCAUCUCCCUUGCUGCAAAAAAUGAGACACUGAUUUUAUAAUUAGGAUUUCAGAUUUACAUUCAUAUAAAAAUUUGUCUUUAGGUUUUUGUUUUUCUGUCUUUUGGGGGGUCAGGUGUGGGCAUCAGUUUAUGCUAGAUUCUUGAUUUCUAAAGCAUUCCAUCUUUUUCAGUGCUCCAGAGACAAAAUAUUUGAAAGAAUUCACCUGUGAGCUGGGUUUGGAAUGGUGGUUCUUAGAAAAUAUUUUUAAAUGUCCCAAAUAUUUGCUGACAAAAUUAUAGAAUGUCUAGGAUUUGCUUAAAAAGAGCCUCAGGAACAGCAUGGAGGGAGGAUCUGUGGGAAGUGGGAGUAUUAUGAAAUUCUUGAGUAUUUGGGCUGGUUCCUUGUGCAUUGUUUUGCUUUUAUGCAUGUUUGACAUAUUCAAAAAAGUUUCUAAAAAUGAAAUCACCUGCAAAAUGUUUUCAGUGGUGGUUACAGAUUUUCUAAUGCCUCUAGUAAUUUUGGUAAUUUACAUAUUAUUAGGAAAUAAUGAGAUUUUAAUAUUCUUAAACAUGUGCUUUUAUCAAGUCUCCUAUGUCUAAUUUAGUGCAUUUCUGUUUUAUCUCUUAAUAAGAUUAGAGUUUCACUUUAAAAUCAUCUUUCUAACUCACACCUCUGAUCAGACUACCCACCUGUGGGCAACUACUUUACUUCCUCAAUUGAAUUUGGAAUUUAUUCUUGGGUAGGCAACAAAGCCUUCAUGCCCUGACCCCAGGUGCCUCUCAAACCUGAGCCCCAGCUUUGUUUUCUCCUCCACUUUCCCACACUCCUAAGAGACACUUGGAAAUUCUUCCUCCUCAGCCUGGGGUGCUGUCAGCCAUAGAACAGUGACCAUCUUCUCCAAGACCCCCACAGAAUGUUGUUUCUCUUAAGCCUUCCACAGAUUCCCCCUUGUUUCUCUCUUCUCUCCGUUCUCUGAACCACACAAUGUGUGCUAUAUUAGGUUUGCAUGUUUGGAAACCCACAUUGUUCUUUUUUCCACCUAUUCUACUAGCAGAGACCUUCCCCUUCAGGUGGCAUGGGGAGAAUAUUUUUAGGGUAAGCAUGUAGAAACAGGCUGCAUAUGUGCCUUAGGUCAGCAGUCUUGUUGUAUGUCUGAAGCACUGAAGUAGGUGCUCAGUAGAUGUUUGUAGGAUGAAUGCUGAGUGAAUGUAGUGGGCAGGAUACAGGCAGGUGAUUGGGAGCCUAGUAGGACUGGUCCUGAUGGGAUUAGUGGAGAGAAGUAGUGGGAGAUCACUUGGGGUCACGUUGUCAUUCACAGUUUGUGAAUGGGAGCAAAUAGGGCUGGUGGUGACUGCAGGAGGCAAAGAACAUGUACACAGGCAGUAUAAAGAACUCUUGCUCUUCACGGGUUACCACAACAAUGUGUAUCUUUCCCAACUCAUAAUUAGUAGCAAUGAUGUUUGUAUUAAGGUAACAGAAAUAUGCUCCAAAAGUAGUUUCUCAUUAUAUUGAAAUCAUUUUAUCAUCAUUUGUUUUACUGCCAUUACACCACAAUGACUAUAAUAAAAGUUUUAGAAAAACAGUUAUCUGAACUUCAAAGCUGUUUGCAUAGAGGACGUUUGCUAGAGUGUGCUUUUCCUCCAUUUACCCUAGGGUGAGCUAACUGUGGCCUUCCCCUGAAAGAUCACAGGCUAUUUUACAAGUUUUCUUGUGAGCCGCUCAGCUUUCUUAUACGCAUGAAUUACGCCAGGGAACUGAUUUGGGUGGACAGAGCCCGGAAAUGUCCUGUUUCAACUGAUUUGUUUAAGAUGGCCAUCAACAUGUGCAGGAGAAUGGUCAUAGUCUAAAUAUCCACCUCUGAGAACUUAAAGGUAGGUCAAAUGUUCUAAAAUUACAACACCUUUGCUAAAAUGUCUUAUUCUGACUAUUAAAAGUAAAUAUGAACUAUAUUGAGAUCAGCUUAAUAUGCUAAAAAUGAGCUAUAUUUGGGCUGCUAUUAAUUAAUGAGAAAUAAAACAAAUUAAGUUCAAGAACAUUAAAACUCUACCCGACUUUACAUGUUUAUUUACUUAGUCAUUAUUUAUGUAUUUUAAGUAAUAGACUUCGUGUCU